UAUUUAUUAGUUUAUAAAAAAACAUUAUAUUUUCAAUAUAAAAAUAUUUAAAAUUAAAAUUAUAAAUAA
This 69-nucleotide transfer RNA is filed under the name Greenidea ficicola. Its description in RNAcentral is "tRNA-Glu". The record is from RNAcentral. Lineage: Eukaryota; Metazoa; Arthropoda; Insecta; Hemiptera; Aphididae.